This 497-nucleotide ribosomal RNA is filed under the name uncultured bacterium. Its description in RNAcentral is "partial 16S ribosomal RNA". It matches the Rfam family "Bacterial small subunit ribosomal RNA", at positions 30 to 523 of the family's 1533-position model. The record is from RNAcentral.
AUUGAACGCUGGCGGCAGGCUUAACACAUGCAAGUCGAGCGGGGUGAUGGUGCUUGCACUAUCACUUAGCGGCGGACGGGUGAGUAAUGCUUAGGAAUCUGCCCAAAAGUGGGGGAUAACUAAGGGAAACUUUAGCUAAUACCGCAUAAUUCUCUGAGGAGAAAAGUUGCCCGUAAGGGUAGCGCUUUUGGAGGGGCCUGCGUCCGAUUAGUUAGUUGGUGAGGUAAUGGCUCACCAAGACUGUGAUCGGUAACUGGUCUGAGAGGACGACCAGUCACACUGGGACUGAGACACGGCCCAGACUCCUACGGGAGGCAGCAGUGGGGAAUCUUGGACAAUGGGGGCAACCCUGAUCCAGCGAUGCCGCGUGGGUGAAGAAGGCCUUCGGGUUGUAAAGCCCUUUAGGCUGGGAAGAAGAGUGUGGGAUGAAUAAUCCUGUACUUUGACGGUACCAGCAGAAUAAGCACCGGCAAACUCUGUGCCAGCAGCCGCAGUAA